GCCGAGAAGCGAGGGUGCAAAGAGAGGAUGGCCACUGCAGGCCGGGUGCCUGGGAUCCGCUAGCGCAGCGUGGAGACCCGCUCCUGAAGAGAGUACAGGGAUACCCACGGAUGCACCCCCCUCAGGCCGAGCUUUCUUCUGGUGAUUUCUAUCCCUUACAUCUCUCCUCAGAGACUCAGCUCGACCCAGAUCCUUCCAGGGGCGCGGCGGGGUGGGGGUGGGGGUGGGGGUUGUCCUGCAACGAGGCAGUGACGGCGCUACGGAGAGGCGGAGCGCACCGCAGUGCCUGGGCUAGGCCCUCCGCUGGGGAAUACCUCUGUUCCUGUUGGGUCCCGGAACUCUGGUGCUGGAAGGCAACACCAGAUCUGCAUCCUCAAGUCUCCUACCCAAGGCCCAGAAUCUUUCGUCCCAUUGAGCGCACAAGAAUAGCACCGAGUGACUGGGUAUCAUUGAUAACACCUAGCCUCCCUUUCAGCGUUUACUAUAUACCUGCCAUUUGCGGUGGAUACCUUGAACAAAAUAUAAGUUGGGAAAUCUUUGCUGUGACUCCAGACAUGCUAGUUGCGCAACUGUAGUAUUUAAGGUUGCCAGAAAGCCGUGCUCCAAAGUUGAAAAAAGAAGUAGAAAGGAAGGUAGGGGGGGAGAAAGGAGGAGGGAGAGUGAGGGACGGAGGGAAGGGACGAAAGUAGUUGGGGGUGAACUCCUGGCAGGAUUUCCGCUAGUCCUAUGGCGGACUACAUAUCCCAGGAAGCUAAGGGGCCCGGGACGCGUUUUCCACUCUGACCCACUCAUCCACUAGCAGAAGACUUUACUAAGACUGGUCACAGCGCAGGCCAAUCCUUCUCCUCUCACCUUGGCUAGAACUUGCGACGGAUUCGUUCCCAAAGUGAUGCUCUAGUGGCAAGAGUAACACAAGUUUGUCAUUGUCCGGAGAAAGUGGAGCCUGCGGUUCUUAACCAGGUUCAGCAGAACGUGUGGCAUCCUUCUCCUGGACAUGCCACCGCUCGGGUUGUGACAUUCUUGGGCACAGCAUAGUCCCACGCGCGGACCCCGCACGUCAAGCGACACUUUAGGGACUUUGACUGCUGCUAGGACUGACCACCGUCCUCCUACCUACCCAGGCUAGCUCCGUCCACUUAGCACGUUUGCAUUUAUUCGUGGAUCUUCCAAGACUCGGUCUUGUAAAUGUUCAGCAUUUCGCUGCUUUCCUGCCUUUUUCUGGGGACUGUGCCAGCACUUGCCCAGACCGGCGGAGAGAGGAGGCUGAGCCCAGAGAAGAGCGAAAUAUGGGGACCCGGGCUAAAAGCACACGUGGUCCUUCCUGCCCGCUAUUUCUACAUUCGGGCGGUGGAUACCUCAGGGGAACAGUUUACAUCUUCUCCAGGUGAAAAGGUGUUCCAGGUUAAAAUCUCAGCACCCGAUGAGCAGUUCACGAGAGUUGGUGUCCAGGUUUUAGAUCGAAAGGACGGUUCCUUCAUAGUAAGAUACAGAAUGUAUGCCAGCUACAGAAAUCUGAAGAUAGAGGUUAAACACCAUGGGCAACAUGUUGCCGAGUCUCCUUAUGUUUUAAGAGGACCAGUUUACCAUGAGAACUGUGACUGUCCUUUGGAAGACAGUGCAGCCUGGCUACGGGAGAUGAACUGUUCGGAAACAAUCUCUCAGAUUCAGAAAGAUCUGGCACAUUUCCCUACUGUUGAUCCUGAAAAGAUUGCAGCAGAAAUCCCAAAACGAUUUGGGCAGAGGCAAAGCCUGUGUCACUAUACCUUAAAGGACAAUAAGGUUUAUAUCAAGACUCAUGGUGAGCACGUUGGCUUUAGGAUUUUCAUGGAUGCAAUACUACUUUCAUUGACUAGAAAGGUGAGGAUGCCAGAUGUGGAAUUUUUUGUUAAUUUGGGAGACUGGCCUUUGGAAAAAAAGAAAUCCAACUCCAACAUUCAGCCGAUCUUUUCCUGGUGUGGCUCCACAGAGUCCAGGGAUAUUGUGAUGCCUACCUACGACCUGACUGACUCUGUUCUAGAAACCAUGGGCCGGUGAGAGAUGAUCAGGGUUGACCCCGAGCCUUGGUUUGCUCUCUUUGAGUAAGUCUGGAUAUGAUGUCGGUGCAAGCUAACACAGGGCCUCCCUGGGAAAGUAAGAAUUCCACAGCUGUCUGGAGGGGCCGAGACAGCCGCAAAGAGAGACUAGAGCUGGUGAAGCUUAGCAGAAAACACCCAGAGCUCAUCGAUGCUGCUUUCACAAAUUUUUUCUUCUUUAAACAUGACGAAAGCCUGUAUGGGCCCAUCGUGAAACACAUUUCAUUUUUUGAUUUCUUCAAGCACAAGUAUCAGAUAAAUAUUGAUGGCACUGUGGCAGCGUACCGAUUGCCCUACCUGCUGGUGGGUGACAGUGUCGUUCUGAAGCAGGACUCCAUCUACUAUGAACACUUUUACAAUGAGCUGCAGCCCUGGAAACAUUACAUUCCAGUCAAAAGUAACCUAAGCGAUCUGCUAGAAAAGCUCAAGUGGGCAAAAGAGCAUGAUGCAGAGGCCAAGAAGAUAGCAAAAGCAGGACAAGAAUUUGCGAGAAAUAAUCUAAUGGGUGAUGAUAUAUUCUGUUAUUACUUCAAACUGUUCCAGGGCUAUGCAAAUUUACAAGUGAGCGAGCCCCAAAUUCGAGAGGGUAUGAAGAGGGUAGAGCCACAAUCCGAGGAUGACCUCUUCCCUUGCACGUGCCAUAGGAGAAAGGCCAAAGAUGAACUCUGAGAAGCAAAAUAUCUUCUGUUCAAAUCAUGGUGCUCUGAGGACACUUUACUAUAAAGGUUAUUUUUAAGUAUGUUUCACAGACAAUGUCAAAUUUACGUGUGCCCAUUCACUUUCUCACAGUAUUUCGUCUUAUGCAGUGUUCCCAUGACUGUCUUUUACAUCACAUUUUAAAAUUUUUAUAAUAAAACUGCCUUUAUUUUAAGGGUCUGUUUUGUUACAGUUAUUACCUAUGAGCAGAAGAAAUAGGCGAGUUUGGGUCCUUGAUUCUGGUGAGUGCUCUGAUUCAAACAGGCCUCCAAAAGCAAAACAAAACUCAGCCAAUUGUGGUGGUUCAUGCCUAUAAUCCUAGCACUUCAGAGGUUAAGACAAGAAGAUUCUGUGAGUUCAAGGCCAGUCUGAGCUACAUAGUAAGUUGGAAGACAAUAAGACUCUGUUUUAAAAUGCAAAUGACUCUGUCUGUUUUAAGCUCUUUUUCUUUUGGAAUAACUACUCAUUGAGUCUCAGUCAAACCUCAUUCUAAUAAAACAUGCUAGAGCUGCCUUUAUCUGGCCUCUGCCUCUGUUGGUAGUCAAACCUAUUACCACUUAUUACAAAUCCUGUCACCGCCCACCCAAUGCUCGUUUCCCUCCGGCCCUGGUAUUUGUUUUUCCCUUUUUCUGGAAGUCAGGAUCGACUCUACUUUCUCUAGCUCCUUUCAGGAAUGUAACACCUCUGAUUCUUUAUAUUAUGUAGUCGCCAUACUUUGCAGUAGUUCCCUGUAGACUCUCCCCUAAUCCUCAGUCCUUAAGCAUCUUGAUUACAAAGAUGAUUCUUUUGGGGUCUAACAGGUUUCCCUGAUUGUGGAAGGGACAACAAAUUUUAAUGGGUCAAUAAAAUGACAAUUAGCUUGAAAAUGCAAUUAAAGAACUAGCUAGGGGCCAGGCAUGCUAGUCCAUGAGUCCCACCACUGAAGUUUCUCCUCCAGUUAGAUAAAGCUCACACACAACAGUCAACCUACUUUACUCCAAGUUCACUGAUUUUAAUGUUAAUCUCUUUGAAAAAUACCCUGACUGAAACAUCCAAGAUGUUUGACCUUAUGUUGGGGAUGGCCCAACCAAGUGAACCAUUACUAAUGGGGAUUCAUACAAUAAAUGUUGAACACAUAAUAUGCAUUCAGUUAUAUAAUACCAAGCUCCAAUAAAAGAGCUUUAAAUAGCCACUGGUUGGGUUUUUUUGGUUUUGUUUUGUUUUGUUUUGUUUUUCAGAUAUCUACUGGAACUGUUCAUAUUUUCUUUUUCUGUUUUUGUUGCAUUCAUUUACAGUGAAUUGUACUAAUGACGUUUUAAUUUUGAAGCAAUGUAAAAAGCCAUGCAAAUUACGUAUUAUUUAUUUGGUCAUGGCUGAAUUGUUAUAGUAAUUGAUUCAGACAUUCACUGUUUUGUUUUUGGUUUUGGUUUUUUGCAAGUUUUACUUCUUCAGAAUUUUAUGCAAUGUGGUCAUUUAAUAACUUAUGUUGUAUUUUUCUUUUUCUUUCUUUCUUUUUUUUUUCUUUGACAUGGUCUUACUAGGUAAUCGUGGUUGACCUGGAACUCUCUAUGUAGAGCAGUCUGGCUUCAAACUCAUAGAGUUCUACCUGCCCCUGCCUUCUGAGUGCUGGGAUUAAAGGAGUAGACCACCAUACCAGGCCUUGAUUUAGGACAUUUUAAACUACAACCCAAAUCUGGCCCACCAUCCAUGUUUGUACAACCUUGAGACUAAGAAUAAUAUUAGCAUUUUAAGUGGUUGAAAUCAUCAGUACACAUAUGUCUUAGUCAGGGUUUCAAUUCCUGCACAAACAUCAUGACCAAGAAGCAAGUUGGGGAGGAAAGGAUUUAUUCGGCUUACACUUCGGCUUACACUUCCAUACUGCUGUUCAUCACCAAGGAAGUCAGGACUGGAACUCAAAAAGUCAGGAAGCAGGAGUUGAUGCAGAGGCCAUGGAGGGAUGUUCCUUACUGGCUUGCUUCCCCUGGCUUGCUUAGCCUGCUCUCUUAUAGAACCAAGACUACCAGCCCAGAGAUGGUCCCACCCACAAAGGGCCUUUCCCCCUUGAUCACUAAUUGAGAAAAUACCCCACAGCUGGAUCUCAUGGAGGUACUUCCCCAACUGAAGCUCCUUUCUCUGUGAUAACCCCAGCCUGCAUCAAGUUGACACAUAAAACCAGCCAGUACAACAUAGAACUCAAAUUUUGGUUCAUAAAUAACGGUUUUAUAUUAGUUUCCUAUUACUAUCCUAUUCCUAUAAGUAUCACAUACUUAGUCCUCUAAAACAAUAAAAAUGUGUUGUUACAAUCCUAGAAGUCACAAUCUGAAAUGUUUCCCUGGGUUAAUUAAUAUUAAGACAUUUAGCAGGGCUGAAUCCUUCUGAUGUAUGGGGUGGGGGUUUCCUAGCCUCUUUUUUUUCUUCUUCUUCUAAUGGGGCAUUCUUAACAUUUCUUGCCUUGAGAACCCUCUCUCCAUCUUCCUAGCCUUCAGCUUAAUCUCUUAAAAUCUCCCUCUGCUUCUCUCUCAAAAGCACCACUGUCUUAUCUGAACACUGUAGCAAUAUGAUUCACAAUAAGCCAAAUGUUCACAAACUAGUAAACGGAUACAUAAAACUGUUUAAUAGGAUUCAGUGAUAGGAAUUAUUUGAGAAGAAGAAGCAGGGUACACUUACACAUUCCAAGUGCAAGGUGACAGAUCAAAGAUCUCAUUCUGUGACUCCAUUCAAUAGUCACAAAUCAUAUUGGUGGGUGUCUGGUGUGAAAGGUAAGAGAGGGAAUGGUAAGUUUCCUCUAGAAAUGAUAAGAUGCCCUUAGAAUUUGAUGAUAGCUGCAAAUGAGUGUACAAUUACUGGAAAUUGAAACUUAGGACAGGUAAAUAAAGCAUAGAAAAGGUAUCAGACCUGAGCUGGCAAUGUGUUAGUGGUAGAGCGGACAGUGGCAGUACGGACUCCAUUAAGGGACAGAUCACACCAUAAGCACACCCACGUCUAGAGGUCACCUUGAUUAUGUCAUUGGUUGGUUAGUCGGGUUUGUUGUUUUCAUGUUUUUCUGCAGGAAUCUUGUGAAUGAUACAAUGUAAACUGUUUCCAUUCUUGCAAGAAUUGGUGACCAUAAACUGUUUCAUGGUAUGUUCACUGUCUACUCAGAGUAUGUACCAUUCCUAUGCUCAUAAAAAUAACUCCAAAA
Molecule: RNA transcript, 5928 nt
Organism: Mus musculus (house mouse)
Lineage: Eukaryota; Metazoa; Chordata; Mammalia; Rodentia; Muridae
Gene: Poglut2
Gene name: protein O-glucosyltransferase 2
Exons: 10
Source: RefSeq, marked provisional